CCUACGGGUGGCAGCAGUGGGGGAUAUUGCACAAUGGGGGGAACCCUGAUGCAGCGACGCCGCGUGGGUGAAGAAGCGCCUCGGCGCGUAAAGCCCUUUCAGCAGGGAAGAAAAUGACGGUACCUGAAGAAGAAGCCCCGGCUAACUAAGUGCCAGCCGCCCCGGGUAUACGUAGGGGGCAAGCGUGAUCCGGAUUUUCGGGGUGUAAAGGGGGCGCAAUCGGCGAUGCAAGCCAGGAGGGAAAGCCCGGGGGCCAACCCCGGGACUGCUCUUGAAACUGCGUGGCUGGAGUGCAGGAGGGGCAGGCGGAAUUCCUGGUGUAGCGGUGAAAUGCGUAGAUAUCAGGAGGAACACCGAUGGCGAAGGCGGCCUGCUGGACUGCAACUGACGUUGAGGCCCGAAAGCGUGGGGAGCAAACAGGAUUAGAUACCCUGGUAGUC
This 440-nucleotide ribosomal RNA is filed under the name uncultured bacterium. RNAcentral's name for it is "partial 16S ribosomal RNA". It matches the Rfam family "Bacterial small subunit ribosomal RNA", at positions 338 to 795 of the family's 1533-position model. The record is from RNAcentral.